This 342-nucleotide long non-coding RNA is filed under the name Bos taurus (domestic cattle). RNAcentral describes it as "long non-coding RNA NONBTAT023093". The record is from RNAcentral. Lineage: Eukaryota; Metazoa; Chordata; Mammalia; Artiodactyla; Bovidae.
GAAAAACAAAAUAGAGUGUAAAGGGAAAAAUAAUUGCUUUAAAUUAGAAAACGUUUGUAUUACUGAGACAUAUUAGUCUGAAUAUAUUAUUGAAAAUCACUAAUACACAUUUGAAAAAUGUUUUGGACUUAGGUAAAAAUGAACAUCAUAAGUACCAUAUUUGAUGUGUUUUUGUUUAGUUUUUAAAGGUUUUUGUGAUUACCAUUGGAUUAGUAGAGUGAAAAGCUGAUCUUUCUAGAGAAAAAGUAAAUGGAAUUAUAAAGUUUUGCUGAUGUUUGGGAUGAUGAGUUUCUUCUCUGCCCAUCUCUAAUAUGGACCCACAUUAUUUUCUUAGGAAAUUUA